UAAUUUUGUCGAUUGAUUAUUUCAUAGAUUGAAUAGUUGCUUGUUUAGUUUUUUUUUUAUUGUAUAGUUUUAACUUUGAUUUUGUUUUUUUACUAUAUUUUGUAUGUUUUUUAUUUGAUUAUACAUGUUUUGGCAUUAUAAUAACAUUAUAAUUUGGACUUUUGAUUGGGCUAGUUUGGCCUAUGCUGACUUUCUACUUGGGCUGCGACUCGCCUGUCGUCACCGGAGCUUUGAGGAGGAGGUCACUCUUUCUAGCUUCUGAAAGAUCGUAGAGGUCUAGUUCUACGAGUAUUUCCCGUCCUUGGCACCGGCACGAUCUCUACCUAGGGGGCUCCCCAUUGCUUCCAGUUGGGGAGGUCGCUAUCCUGGCGUGGUUGCCACCGCACACGUGAAAGAGGCGCUUCUCGCGGUUAGGAUAAUCUCUCUAUAUCGUUAUUAUUUUCUUUUGACCUCUUUGUAGGAUUUCUUGACUUAUGUUUGUCCCUUUUACGAGUCCCGAUGUCUCCUACCGUCCAUGGGUGGGAUUUGACGAUUCUACACUGGCUUACUAAUACACCGCCCAGAGGCGUUAUUUUUGGGGGACCUACGAUGUUGUGGUGUGCUUGGGCGAGAGAGGUGUGGUUCAGCACUCCUUAGAGGUUUUCGUCGUUCUAUCCCGUCCUCCACGACAUAUGAUGGACCAGACGCGUAUCUGAGCACACAUGGACUCGGAGCUGAUCGGUGCGGAUUGGCGAAGCUUUAGCCAUCCGGUCGAUCUUAUGCAGAGUGGCUUCUACCACGGCUGCAGCAGCUGCGGAGUUCGUGCCUCCACGUAUGUCCAUUGUGUACUAGGGGACAUACGGUCCGAUUAAGGAGAUGGAGCCUCCUGCCCUUGAGGAGUGGCGUCUAAUUUCAAGUUCUCAAGUGAGGUGAUGACAAGAAUGGCGACAGCUAUGGACGCUUUCCGGUAACAAAUGGUGAGGUUGAGUCACCCAACCUCAUGUUGUUGCGAUGGCGACGUUGUAACGCCCGCCCCUCCGUCACGUACUCGCUUGAGGCCAGAGGGCUUGAGGGAGAAAGCUGAAUCGAGGCGUCGUCACACCUCGGUCGAGAUUGAGAAUGGGAGAGAAGCGUCAGAUCAUACCGUAGUACUGGAUGAUUUUGGCUCUUCUUCUGAGGGGUUGGCAGUGAGGCCACCUGGUCGGGGUAGUCCGACGUUGGUUCCUUUUAGGGUCGGAUGAACGUACAAGGUGGGCUCGUCUUCGCGACAGCUGCAGUAUGAGGAGCAGCAGCAAGGUCAAACGGGAUGGGCUGGCCCUACACUCUCGUUUCCGAUGACCAGGGGUGUUGAAGAUGGCCAAGGAGUGACCCCACGUAUGUUGCAGUUUUAUGAUGCUCUGGGUAUCCGUCCUCCAGCGCCAUAGCCUUUGUACCUAUAUUGAUUUAUUUAUGCAUUUUUUAACUAGGUAGGACUUUGCUUUUUUUAUGCGGAUCUAUAACUCGAUUAGACAUGAUGUAUAUGACUGGGUUAGACAUGAUGUAUAUAUACAUAUUAGACUUACU
Long non-coding RNA from Chenopodium quinoa (quinoa), 1542 nucleotides. RefSeq lists it as uncharacterized. The record is from RefSeq and is a predicted model, not a curated record. Lineage: Eukaryota; Viridiplantae; Streptophyta; Magnoliopsida; Caryophyllales; Amaranthaceae. The transcript is spliced from 5 exons.